Molecule: ribosomal RNA, 492 nt
Filed under: uncultured bacterium
Lineage: Bacteria
Description: partial 16S ribosomal RNA
Rfam family: Bacterial small subunit ribosomal RNA
Source: RNAcentral
AGUGAACGCUGGCGGUAGGCCUAACACAUGCAAGUCGAACGGCAGCACAGUAAGAGCUUGCUCUUACGGGUGGCGAGUGGCGGACGGGUGAGGAAUACAUCGGAAUCUACUUUUUCGUGGGGGAUAACGUAGGGAAACUUACGCUAAUACCGCAUACGACCUACGGGUGAAAGCAGGGGAUCUUCGGACCUUGCGCGAUUGAAUGAGCCGAUGUCGGAUUAGCUAGUUGGUAAGGUAACGGCUUACCAAGGCAACGAUGCGUAGCCGACCUGAGAGGGUGAUCGGCCACACUGGAACUGAGACACGGUCCAGACUCCUACGGGAGGCAGCAGUAGGGAAUCUUCCGCAAUGGGCGAAAGCCUGACGGAGCAACGCCGCGUGAGUGAUGAAGGUCUUCGGAUCGUAAAACUCUGUUAUUAGGGAAGAACAAAUGUGUAAGUAACUUUGCACGUCUUGACGGUACCUAAUCAGAAAGCCACGGCUAACUACGUG